GCUGUUUUUCCUGCUUCUCCAUUUAGGGUGUGACGGGCAGGUGCUUCUCCACAGGUGUUCCUCAUCUGUCAGCAAUCCGCUGGGCUUCUUUAGGGAGUGGAGAGCCAGAGGAAGGUGUCAGCUCCUUGUUGUUCACUCAGUGAUCCAGCCUUGUCAAGUGUUUCAUUGCACCAGCAGGAUGGAGUCGUUUCUGAAGGAGUGUGAAAGCUCAAAGUCACGACACCUUCGACUUAUGAUCCCUGCUCUAUUCUCCAACUCCAAGCCCAGCCUCUCAAAGAACUCACCAAGCCUAACUCAGAGGAGCAUUCACCUGCCUGUCCACCCAUCAACGUCCCCCUCAAGUCACAGCGGAGCUUCGCCGCAGAAAAAGGGACAACACCAACUGGAGAUUACUGGAUCAAGCCCGUUCACAGCCUGCCAACCACAGACACUGUGGAGAAGGACUUAUUCCCCCUUCGUCUAGCUCAAACCUCCAACUCAAUUAAUCCCAGUCUGAUCAACCUACCCAGUCCUGGUUCCUGUUCAUCCACUCCCCUGGCUUUAAUAAUAAACCCUUUCAAAACAUA
This is a long non-coding RNA of Girardinichthys multiradiatus, 566 nucleotides long. RefSeq lists it as uncharacterized. The transcript has 3 exons. The record is from RefSeq and is a predicted model, not a curated record. Lineage: Eukaryota; Metazoa; Chordata; Actinopteri; Cyprinodontiformes; Goodeidae.